AUACGAAAGGUGCAAGCGUUGUUCGGAUUUACUGGGCGUAAAGAGAGUGUAGGUGGUUUAUUAAGUCGGAUGUGAAAUCCCGGGGCUCAACCUCGGAACUGCAUUCGAUACUGAUAGGCUAGAGUUUGGGAGGGGUAAGCGGAAUUCCGUGUGUAGCAGUGAAAUGCGUAGAUAUACGGAGGAACACCUGAGGCGAAGGCGGCUUACUGGACCAAUACUGACACUGAGACUCGAAAGCGUGGGUAGCAAACAGGAUUAGAAACCCCAGUAGUCC
This 274-nucleotide ribosomal RNA is filed under the name uncultured bacterium. RNAcentral's name for it is "partial 16S ribosomal RNA". It matches the Rfam family "Bacterial small subunit ribosomal RNA", at positions 523 to 796 of the family's 1533-position model. The record is from RNAcentral.